GAAACGACUGCUAAGACUGGAUAGGAGACAAGAAGGGCAUCUUCUUGUUUUUAAAGACCUAGCAAUAGGUAUGCUUAGGGAGGAGCUUGCGUCACAUUAGUUAGUUGGUGGGGUAAAGGCCUACCAAGACUAUGAUGUGUAGCCGGGCUGAGAGGUUGAACGGCCACAUUGGGACUGAGACACGGCCCAAACUCCUACGGGAGGCAGCAGUAGGGAAUUUUCGGCAAUGGAGGAAACUCUGACCGAGCAACGCCGCGUGAACGAUGAAGUAUUUCGGUACGUAAAGUUCUUUUAUUAGGGAAGAAUAAAUGAUGGAAAAAUCAUUCUGACGGUACCUAAUGAAUAAGCCCCGGCUAACUAUGUGCCAGCAGCCGCGGUAAUACAUAGGGGGCAAGCGUUAUCCGGAAUUAUUGGGCGUAAAGGGUGCGUAGGCGGUUAAAUAAGUUUAUGGUCUAAGUGCAAUGCUCAACAUUGUGAUGCUAUAAAAACUGUUUAGCUAGAGUAAGAUAGAGGCAAGUGGAAUUCCAUGUGUAGUGGUAAAAUGCGUAAAUAUAUGGAGGAACACCAGUAGCGAAGGCGGCUUGCUGGGUCUUUACUGACGCUGAGGCACGAAAGCGUGGGGAGCAAACAGGAUUAGAUACCCUGGUAGUCCACGCCGUAAACGAUGAGUACUAAACGUUGGGUAAAACCAGUGUUGAAGUUAACACAUUAAGUACUCCGCCUGAGUAGUACGUACGCAAGUAUGAAACUUAAAGGAAUUGACGGGACUCCGCACAAGCGGUGGAUCAUGUUGUUUAAUUCGAAGGUACCCGAAAAACCUCACCAGGUCUUGACAUGCUUCUGCAAAGCUGUAGAAACACAGUGGAGGUUAUCAGUUGCACAGGUGGUGCAUGGUUGUCGUCAGCUCGUGUCGUGAGAUGUUGGGUUAAGUCCCGCAACGAGCGCAACCCUUAUUGUUAGUUACCAGCACGUAAUGGUGGGGACUUUAGCAAGACUGCCAGUGAUAAAUUGGAGGAAGGUGGGGACGACGUCAAAUCAUCAUGCCCCUUAUGACCUGGGCUACAAACGUGAUACAAUGGCUGUUACAAAGAGUAGCUGAAGCGCAAGUUUUUGGCGAAUCUCAAAAAAACAGUCUCAGUUCGGAUUGAAGUCUGCAACUCGACUUCAUGAAGUUGGAAUCGCUAGUAAUCGCGAAUCAGCAUGUCGCGUGAAUACGUUCUCGGGGUUUGUACACACCGCCCGUCA
This 1245-nucleotide ribosomal RNA is filed under the name 'Atractylodes lancea' witches'-broom phytoplasma. RNAcentral's name for it is "bacterial SSU rRNA". It matches the Rfam family "Bacterial small subunit ribosomal RNA", at positions 153 to 1399 of the family's 1533-position model. Lineage: Bacteria; Bacillati; Mycoplasmatota; Mollicutes; Acholeplasmatales; Acholeplasmataceae. The record is from RNAcentral.